RNAcentral lists this small nuclear RNA (161 nucleotides) under Callorhinchus milii (elephant shark). RNAcentral's name for it is "U2 spliceosomal RNA (ENSCMIG00000017596.1)". The stretch from base 1 to 126 matches the Rfam family "U2 spliceosomal RNA". From Rfam's summary of the family: U2 is a small nuclear RNA (snRNA) component of the spliceosome (involved in pre-mRNA splicing). Complementary binding between U2 snRNA (in an area lying towards the 5' end but 3' to hairpin I) and the branchpoint sequence (BPS) of the intron results the bulging out of an unpaired adenosine, on the BPS, which initiates a nucleophilic attack at the intronic 5' splice site, thus starting the first of two transesterification reactions that mediate splicing. The record is from RNAcentral. Lineage: Eukaryota; Metazoa; Chordata; Chondrichthyes; Chimaeriformes; Callorhinchidae.
AUUGCUUCUCAGCCUUCUGGCUAAGAUCAAGUCUGGUAUCUGUUCUUAUCAGUUACUCCUUGGGCUGUGCACCUGUCAGUUCUCUCUCUUGGAGGUUUGCAUUGUUUAGGGAUGCCAUGAUCCAAAACUCCCCAUGAUUUACUCCUGUGGGGCAAAGCUAA